AGUUUAGCGUAAACCGGGAAGCGGAUCGCGUGGAGUGAAAGUCACCGCAGCGGAGAUGGACAAACCAUGUGGGUGCCCUCCAGGUGUGUGCGACCAUGAAAUGGGAGACUAGCAGGACCCACGUUGGCCAACCGUGGACCUGGUCCCUCCAGUAGGAGUCGUGAGCCAGCUGAAUUUGAAUGCAAAGAUGGAGCAAGGGCCGACUGGAGUCACACUGACAUCCACCCCCAUAACAUGGGGACAGAUCAAGAAAACAAAGCAGGAAGCUGAGAAAAUGCUGGAGCAUCCAUGUGCUUGGCCAUGUUAGCAGUAGUGUCCUGUGAGGAUUGAUUUCCAAAAACUCCUGUUACAUGAGGAAGACACCAAGAAGAGCAAAGAAAAGGAGCCAGGGUGGCUCUUCCUCAGCUAUCUCUUCCAAAUGCAUGACAAGGAAGUUCUCAUCAAGAAGGCAAGGCAAUACAGAAGUGUUCCACACAGGGACAUUGCAAAGACAAGCAAGUCAUCACACUGGAGAUUUUUCCUUCCAGGAAAUUGAGAAAGAUUUUCAGGACUUUGAGUUUCAGUGGCAAGAAGAUGAAAGAAAUGGCCAUGAAGCACUCAUGACAGAGAUAAAAAAGUUGACAGGUAAUACAGACUGAUAUGAUCAAAGGCAUGCUGGAAACAAACCUAUUAAAGAUCAGCUUGGAUCAAGCUUUCAUUCACAUCUGCCUGAACUGCAUAUAUUGCAGAGCAAAGGGAAAAUUGAUAGUCAAGAUGAGAAGUCUGUCAAUGAUGCUUCCUCAGUUUCAGCAUCCCAAAGAAUUUCUUGUAUUCCUAAAACCCAUAUUUCUAAUAAGUAUGGGAAUAAUUUCCUCCAGGAAGCACACAUGAGAGAAAAAUCUUUCCAAUGUAAUGAGAGUGGCAAAGCCUUUAAUUGUAGCUCACUGUUAAAAAAAUGUCAGAUAAUCCAUUUAGGAGAGAAAAAAUAUAAAUGUGAUAUAUGUGGCAAGGUCUUUAAUCAGAAGCGAUACCUUGCAUACCAUCAUAGAUGUCACACUGGUGAGAAACCUUACAAGUGUAAUCAGUGUGGCAAGACCUUCAGUUACAAGUCAUCCCUUGUAAUUCACAAGGCAAUUCAUACUGGAGAGAAACCUCACAAGUGUAAUGAAUGUGGCAAGGUUUUUAAUCAAAAAGCAUAUCUUGCAAGUCAUCAUAGACUUCAUACUGGAGAGAAACCUUACAAAUGUGAAGAAUGUGACAAAGUUUUUAGUCGCUAAUCACACCUUGAAAGACAUAGGAGAAUUCAUACUGGAGAGAAACCGUACAAAUGUAAGGUUUGUGACAAGGCUUUCAGACGUGAUUCACACCUGGCACAACAUAUUGUAAUUCACACUGGAGAGAAACCUUACAAGUGUAAUGAGUGUGGCAAGACCUUUGUUCAAAAUUCAUCUCUUGUAAUGCAUAAGGUCAUUCAUACUGGAGAGAAAUGUUACAAGUGUAAUGAAUGUGGCAAGGUUUUUAAUCACAAAUCAAACCUUGCAUGUCAUCAUAGACUUCAUACUGGAGAGAAACCUUACAAGUGUAAUGAAUGUGGCAAGGUUUUUAAUUGAAAAUCAAACCUUGAACAUCAUCAUAGAGUUCAUAUCGGAGAAAAACCUUACAAAUGUGAAGAAUGUGACAAAGUUUUCAAUUUCAAUUCACGCCUUGAAAUACAUAGGAGAGUUCAUACUGGAGAGAAACCAUAGAAAUGUAAGGUUUGUGACAAGGCAUUCGGGUGUGAUUCACACCUGGCACAACAUACUAGAAUUCACACUGGAGAGAAACCGUGCAAGUGUGAUGAGUGUGACAGAGCCUUCAGUGGUCAGUCAACACUUAUUCACCAUCAAGCAAUCCAUGUCAUAGGGAAACUUUACUAAUGUAAUGAUUGUCACAAAGUCCUCAGUAAUGCUACAACCAUUGCAAAUUAUUGGAGAAUGCAUAAUGAAGUGAGAACUUACAAGUGUUAUAAAUGUGGCAAAUUUUUCAGACUUCGUUCAUACCUUGCAGUUUAUCAGCGAACUCAUACUGGAGAGAAACCUUACAAAUGUGAUGAUUGUGGCAAGGUCUUCAGUCAAGCUUCAUCUUAUGCAAAACACAGGUGAAUUCAUACAAGAAAGAAACCUCACAAGGGUGAUGAUUGUGUCAAAGCCUUUAUUUCAGGUUCAUGCCUCAUUACACAUCAGAGAAUCCAUACUAGACAGAGAUCUUACAAAAGUCAUAUGUGUGGCAAGAUCUUUAGUCUGAGGUCACUCCUUGCAGGACAUCAGGAAAUUCAUUUUUGAGGUAAUAAUUUCAAAUGCAAUGAGUAUAGCAAACCAUCAAGCACAAUUGAUGUUAGAUUCAAAUCAGCAUUGAGUUCAGUUUGAGUUGACUUAACAUUGAGUUCAAGUAUUUGUUGAGAUUAAAGUGUUUAUGUUAAGAGGAUUAGGCCAGGUGCGGUGGCUCACACCUGUAAUCCCAGCACUUUGGGAGGCCAAGACAGGUAGAUCACUUGAGAUCAGGAGUUUGAGAGCAGCCUGGCCAACAGAGGUGAGCACCUUUCCCAGUCUGUUUUUUGUUUCUUCAACAAAAACUGAUAGAGAUUUUUAUGGGUAUUGUGUUGAAUCAAAAUCACAUUGGGUUAUGUAAUCAUUUAACAGUAUUAAUUUUUCCAAAACAUCAAUAUGGGUUAUAUCUUUAUAUAUGUUUUUAAUCAUUUUGAUCAAUGUUUGUAGAUUUCAAUGUAUGAAUUUCUCACUUCUUUCCAUUUAUUCCUAUUUCUUACUUUAAGUUCUCUAGCAAAUGGAAGUGUUUUUAAAUUUUCAUUUAAAAUUGUUUAUUGUUAAUGUAUGAAAAUUCAACGAAUUUUUGGUGCUGAUAUUGUAUUGUGCAAAUCUACUGAUGUGUUUAUUAGUCACAGUAGUAUUUUGGUUGACUCUUUGUGAUUUUCUACACAGAAGAUCAUGUCAUCUACAAAAAAUAUAAUUUUACUUUUUCUGA
RNAcentral lists this long non-coding RNA (2997 nucleotides) under Homo sapiens (human). Its description in RNAcentral is "non-protein coding lnc-ZNF816-2:5". Lineage: Eukaryota; Metazoa; Chordata; Mammalia; Primates; Hominidae. The record is from RNAcentral.